Molecule: long non-coding RNA, 1979 nt
Organism: Amblyraja radiata (thorny skate)
Lineage: Eukaryota; Metazoa; Chordata; Chondrichthyes; Rajiformes; Rajidae
Exons: 5
Source: RefSeq, a predicted model, not a curated record
CUGUCCUUCCUCGACGCUCAUCAUUCUCUCGCCAACCCCGUUUCCGAACAGGAGCCCGUGGAGAGAUCGAGGGAGCGAGGGAGAGAAAGAGAGAGGGAGGGUGUGUGAGAGACAGAGAGAGAGAGAGGGAGAGAGAGAGAAGGGGAACGAGCAGAAAACACGGGUGAGAAGACUCCCUCUGAAGUAGCGCACCUCCCCCCCCCCCCCCCCCCCCCAGAGAGAAGGACACGGAACGGGCGACAACUCCCACUCGCCGCAGACUGGAUUGGAAUGUAGGAGACGGCAGCGCAAGAUGGGGGAAAGGAGAGAGAAAAAAAACAACACACAUCUUCUUGACCUCUCUCGCACCGCCCGAGACGCAGGGCGGAAGUUGGCCUCUGUCUUUGGUUAUCUAGCUGUAUGAGUAUAACUGAUCUAUCAUAAAGCUAGAUAACCGAAAGUAGAAUCCACUUCCACAGCUUCGGGGAGAGGAAGAGCGGUCACACGGCGAGCAGAAACGCCAAGAAUCAGAAAAGAAAACUCGCGGUCACAGUCAUCAGAUCGACUGGAGACAAUACGACCACCACAGGCCGCGAAACGACAUUUCCUGAAGCAAACGUGAAAAGACUGGAGAGGAGGGAGUGGCGACCCUUAAUCAUAAAUACAAACGACAUCGUCCGUGCUUGCAUCGGCACAUACUUCGAUAAGAACAAAACACAAUACGCCUUCAAAUCCCACCUGAAGACUGCGAUUUCUUUAGCUUUCCCGAUGAUACAGCGCUUCUGGAGACGUGAAGCUGUCGCCGUGAGCCAGGAGGGGCAACAGGCUGGAAGGCAAACGAGGAUGGCCUGAAUGGCCAGCUGGCAGCCAUUUUGUAUGAGAGAGAGAGAGACAGAGAGAUGGAGCUUGCAGCCAUCUUGAGGGGUGGGGCUGCAGUUCCUAUCGUGGACGCUUUGCCACACAGUGUGGCAUAAGGUAAGUAAUGCAAUUCUCAAUUCCACAAUCGCGCCCUCCAAUGACACCUCCACAACAACCCACCCCCCCCAACUCUACUUUGCUCAUUACACUAAUUACCUAAGCACCGAGCAAUAAAUGUAACUCGAGUGACCCAAUCCUGUCUCUCGUAUUCUUUCAAGCAGAUAAUGUGCCCUUGAUUUUAAUUAAAUUAACAUGAUUUCAGAUUUCUUUGAUCAGUCCUUCCAUCCUUUUUAUAGAUUGGUGAUGAAUGGAACGACCUGCAUCUUAUUCGGUAAAACGCAGCGAUUUUACCAAAUAAUUGACGUUGUGUAAAUAGUUUUUAAAGAGACUGUAUAUCACUUUUCUGAUUAAUAUCGGGCAAAUCUAUUUUUAAAGAAUGACUUUAAAUAAAAAAACACGACGAAUAAGUAAUAAAGAACAUUCGAUCGGUUUAAUUCUGAAGAAAUUUUACAGGAAUAAAUUUAUUUUUUAUAUCUGCAUCUGGUUAUCUUUACGUUAGUGUGUGUAUUUUCUCUUAUUUUUAUUGCUUCUUUCUGAUUGUUGAAUUUCUAACAAUGCUGGUGGUCUUCACAAAUCGGCCUUUUGCUGGGGUCUUGCUUAAAUGGUACCUCUCUGACCACAGACCCAGAGAGUGAGUGGAUCCAAGGGUCUUCAGUGCCAUAGCUCACAAUGCUGACCUUGCCUCAUUUUUCUGUAUGGGGCCAAGAGGAAGGAGAUCAGGAUCAAGAAUGCAAGGCAGACUCUUCUCCUUCCAACCUUUUCCUGGACAUCCCACCUCCUUAAUUUUUGAAGCUGUUUCUUGCAAGAAAACAUCUCAGCUGAAAUUGCUGCAUUUAUUAACAUUUGCAACAAUUUAAUCAUUCCACAUCAUGUAUUCAACCCAAUUAAUAUGAUCAUGCAAUUUGCUGUCACUCUUAACUCUUUAAGUGCUGAUCCUUAGUGCAGAGCUAUUGCAUGUUCAACACAGAAGGACCCAUUGCUGCACUGACAUUGCAACAUAGAAAAUAGGUGCAGAAGGGGGC